Molecule: long non-coding RNA, 1086 nt
Organism: Myotis daubentonii (Daubenton's bat)
Lineage: Eukaryota; Metazoa; Chordata; Mammalia; Chiroptera; Vespertilionidae
Exons: 2
Source: RefSeq, a predicted model, not a curated record
AGAACUCAUCCCAAGGAAGCAGCUUUCUGGGCCUCAAACUGCACAACUCAUUCCUCUUCUGAGGGGGACGGGGGAGAACUGGGGGAUUUCACGGCCAGAUUACAGGCCCCCAGAGCUAGAAAUGUGCUUUUCAGAGUUACACAGAUACACAAUGUCCAGAAGUGUUUACUUGUGUGGCGUCCUUUACCUGGUGUCUGCUCCAGGCUGAGCCUACCUGCAGGGUGGGCGGCAAGGGUGUGGCUUGCGGUCCCCUGGAGGAAGCAGAGGCCAUUGGGGGCACGGCCUGGAGCAUCAGGUUCUGCAUGAUGACCUGGUGCAUCUGUGCGUUCUGCAGCAGCAUCAUCUCCACCAUGUCUAAAAGGGCGGGGAGGAGGGGCUCGGUUACACACACAGGGGCUCGCCCGUCCGUCAGGGGUCUCACCCGAGAACAGCUUGAGAGCAACUUAUUUGUUGGAACAGGUGUAGGGUGUUCCAGGUAUCUGUUCCUCCUGGGGGGGGGGGGCGGGGUCACAUUCCCAGACCUGAAAUUUCCAGGUCAGAGGGUGUGUGUGCUAUAAAGUGUGUGGACGGUGUCCAGUUGGGCUCCUAGGAGGUGGCUCCUCUUGCCUUCCUCCUGGCAGAUUCCUCAAGCCCACGGGGACUGCAUGGUGGCCCCUGACCUCAGAACAUGGCCUUGUUUGGAAAAAGGGUCUUUACAGAUUGAGCCAAACCGGUUAGGGCUACUCUGUUAUUCUUUGUUUCUUAUUCUGUAGGUCAACUCUGUUAUUUUUAGACUGUAAAGUAACUUUGUUUUUAGCUUCAAUAAUAGAAAAGAUAAACUUAACUGUCUGACUUUGCAAGCUGGCCAUCUAAAGGGACUGAUACGCUGAUACUGAUGAUAAUUCCCAUUCUCAUGCCAAGUGUUUGUAUCCAAGGUUACAGGUGUCUGUGUAGAUAUGACAGGUGUUUGCUAGAUAUGAUAUAUACUCAAGGUUACACGCUGUCUACAAAAAUAACUUACACAAAGAACUAGAAGGAUAUAAAAAGAAAAGACUCCCUCCUAUGUUUGUUCAGAAUUUGACAGAGGUAAUCCGCUCUGAACCUGCG